CACCCCCUUGUUAACCACUUCCCUUGUGGAAGAGGCAAGACGGAUCUGGCCGUCUCUGUGCUCCUCGAGAGAACAGGGUCGGCUGAAGAACAGAGGCUUGAGCAUGGUCCCGCUGAAAGGGCGCCAGCUUGGUAGGUAGCUCACGCUGCAUGCCGCUGUCACCCCCAGGAACCUGUGCUGUAAAGCCGGCAGGAAUCGGUGGCUCACGCCCCGAACUCUUAC
This 222-nucleotide unclassified non-coding RNA is filed under the name uncultured Pseudochlorella. RNAcentral describes it as "partial internal transcribed spacer 2". Lineage: Eukaryota; Viridiplantae; Chlorophyta; Trebouxiophyceae; Chlorellales. The record is from RNAcentral.